CUUAAGUACGUGAGACAAACGUUCGUUGGCCACGUUUUUCUUUCGACCGUUGAGGAGCAAGCAGCUAAAGCUCGCGUCUUUUUUAAGGCCUUCUUUGUUCUAUUUUACACAACAGUUUAGCAUUUUAGGAUUUUUUUUGGAUAACCAAAGACUAUUUUUCUUCUUGGUUAUGUUUCUUGAAAUCACGACAAUGAAAGGAGACUUCCAGAAGGACAUCAAGACCGCGCCUGUUCAUAAGACAAAGUGGUCAAAACCAAAGAGGAGGACAUUUCUACGCGCAAAGAUGGGCGAAAGGAGACGAAGGGCCCGCUCCACGACCACGAGACCGCAGCCGAGUCCGGGCCGUGUCGACAGUACAGCUACGGGGAAUCAACGUUACCUAACAGCAGCCAUGGCACCAAGAAACACAACGCAAUAUUUAAUGGACCUGGUUUACGCUGAUCGAUUAGACGUUUCAGUGGAGGCGUGUGAUGUAAGCCACGAUUUCUCGAUGCAGAGUAAUGUCUCAUUUGAUGAGAGCGUUUUCUCAAUGUCGGACUCUGAUCACAACAGAUCUUUGGACUUUCAGCAGCGAGACUUCGAGAACGUGUUCUUCAGAAAUGAAAUCUGAGGUGUUUCCGAAACCUGACUCGAUUUCGUCGGAACGAGGCAACCGGGCAGCUGUGAAACCAUAGACCGUAACAUCAUUGCGCAGACUCCAACUCCGGGAGGCGGAACGCUCUGCGUCACAGCUGCGCGAUGACGUGUACACCACGCACCCAGUUGGGCCACACCACGUGGCCAGCAGGUAAACUCGCUCCACCCUUUGUGUACACGGUGUGAGAGCGUUGCUGUAACGUGCUGUUGCUGAGAAGUAUGCAUGCAUUGUUCUGCCAACGGAUGUGUGUGUGUUCCGAGACUUUUACAGGUUGCUGAUCCUCCUCGGUGGAUCUCAGCUGUCUGUGCAACCCAUCCAGAGCCUUUGGGACAGAGCCGCAUUGCUGCCUGCUCAUCACUGCUGGGGAACUGUACAUGCUGUGGUAAAUGCUUGAUGAAUGUAAACCUACACAAGUACACUCAGAGCUACAUCUCAUGUGUGGUGAUCUAGUUUGAGAACUUACUGUCAAUAUUGUAUUAACUAUUAAAAUUUGUUGAUUUGUUAACCUAAA
Molecule: long non-coding RNA, 1148 nt
Organism: Carassius auratus (goldfish)
Lineage: Eukaryota; Metazoa; Chordata; Actinopteri; Cypriniformes; Cyprinidae
Exons: 2
Source: RefSeq, a predicted model, not a curated record